This 29-nucleotide non-coding RNA is filed under the name Rattus norvegicus (Norway rat). The record is from RNAcentral. Lineage: Eukaryota; Metazoa; Chordata; Mammalia; Rodentia; Muridae.
UGGUUACCACGACAGAUUACUCCCAGCCC